This 74-nucleotide transfer RNA is filed under the name Camelus bactrianus (Bactrian camel). It matches the Rfam family "tRNA". From Rfam's summary of the family: Transfer RNA (tRNA) molecules are approximately 80 nucleotides in length. Their secondary structure includes four short double-helical elements and three loops (D, anti-codon, and T loops). The record is from Rfam by way of RNAcentral. Lineage: Eukaryota; Metazoa; Chordata; Mammalia; Artiodactyla; Camelidae. RNAcentral also lists the same sequence under 2 other names.
GAAGGUAUAGCUCAAUUAAUGAGAAUGCUUGCUUAGCAUGCACCAGGUCCUGGGUUCAAGCCCCAGUACCUCCA